RNAcentral lists this long non-coding RNA (818 nucleotides) under Nicotiana benthamiana. RNAcentral describes it as "long non-coding RNA (NBEN_LNC029585)". The record is from RNAcentral. Lineage: Eukaryota; Viridiplantae; Streptophyta; Magnoliopsida; Solanales; Solanaceae.
UAGUAUUAAGCCAAUUGAAAGAGACCUUAACAAAAUAUAUGUUUGUUUAAUACUAAAAUUCAACAAUGCUAACAAACUACAAAAUUUUAACCUAUUAGUCUUUGUAACACUCUUUAUAAAGUAAUUACCAAAAUAAUUGCUAAUAGGCUUAAGCCUUUACUAAGUAGAUUGGUUAGUGAACACCAGAUUAGCUUUCUGAAACAUAAACGACCUAGUAAUAAUGCUAUCAUUAUUCAGGAGGUCCUCAAACGUUUUAAUAAACAAACAAGGAAAUGAAAUUGGCUCCUAAAGUUGGACCUAGAAAAGGCUUUGGAUAAAUUGGAAUGGUCAUUUGUUUAUCAAGCUCUAAGGUUCCACAAUUUCCCUCCUAAUAUUUCUUCUCUUAUUUUGAGUUGUAUUUCUUCUACGUCUAUCUCAAUCCUUGUUAAUGGAAAUAAGACUAAGUAUUUCUGCCUUCAAGGGGUAUCAGGCAAGGCGACCAAUGUCACCCUACGUUUUUAUUUUAUGUAUGGACAUGCUAUCCAAAAAUAUUGAACAUCAAGUUGACACUCUCUCUUAUUCUGCGUUGUAUUUCUUCUAUGUCUAUCUCAAUCCUUGUUAAUGGUAAUAAGACUAAGAAUUUCUGCCCUUCAAGGGGUAUCAGGCAAGGAGACCCAAUGUCACCCUACAUUUUUAUCUUAUAUAUGGACAUGCUAUCCAAAAAUAUUUAACAUCAAGUUGACACUCUUUGAUGGGAUCCAAUACUAUUAAAUAGGCAAAGCCCCCCCCCCUCCCCCAAUCCCAUCCCAUUUAUUUUAUGCUGAUGAUCUAACAUUAAU